AUUGAACGCUGGCGGCAUGCCUUACACAUGCAAGUCGAACGGUAACAGGGAGCUUGCUCCGCUGACGAGUGGCGAACGGGUGAGUAAUAUAUCGGAACGUACCAUUCAGUGGGGGAUAACGUAGCGAAAGUUACGCUAAUACCGCAUAUUCUCUCCGGAGGAAAGCAGGGGAUCGCAAGACCUUGCGCUGAUGGAGCGGCCGAUGUCAGAUUAGCUAGUUGGUGGGGUAAAGGCUCACCAAGGCGACGAUCUGUAGCGGGUCUUAGAGGAUGAUCCGCCACACUGGAACUGAGACACGGUCCAGACUCCUACGGGUGGCAG
RNAcentral lists this ribosomal RNA (321 nucleotides) under uncultured Pseudomonadota bacterium. RNAcentral describes it as "bacterial SSU rRNA". It matches the Rfam family "Bacterial small subunit ribosomal RNA", at positions 30 to 351 of the family's 1533-position model. The record is from RNAcentral. Lineage: Bacteria; Pseudomonadati; Pseudomonadota.